AUUGAACGCUGGCGGCAUGCCUUACACAUGCAAGUCGAACGGUAACGUGGCUUCGGGUGCCGACGAGUGGCGAACGGGUGAGUAAUACAUCGGAACGUGCCCGAUCGUGGGGGAUAACGAGGCGAAAGCUUUGCUAAUACCGCAUACGAACUACGGAUGAAAGCAGGGGACCGCAAGGCCUUGCGCGGACGGAGCGGCCGAUGGCUGAUUAGGUAGGUGGUGGGAUAAAAGCUUACCAAGCCGAUGAUCUGAAGCUGGUCUGAGAGGAUGAUCAGCCACAUUGGGAGAGAGACAGGUCCCAGACUCCGAGAGGGAGCAGCAGUGGAGACUCUUGCGGGAGGGAGCAGAGGCUGAUCCUGCGCAGCCGCGUGCAGGAUGAAGCCCUUCUGGUUGUAGAAUGCUGUUGUUCGGAACGUAAAGACAUCUUUUAAUAGAGGAGGAUAAUGACGGUACCGUAAGAAGAAGCACCGGCUAACUACGUG
This 482-nucleotide ribosomal RNA is filed under the name uncultured bacterium. Its description in RNAcentral is "partial 16S ribosomal RNA". It matches the Rfam family "Bacterial small subunit ribosomal RNA", at positions 29 to 507 of the family's 1533-position model. The record is from RNAcentral.